GGAAGACUUAAGAUGGCGGCGUUUGCACGGAGUGCAAUCACUGCGUCCUUACGGGGGUUGCAAGGCGUCCGAAGUAUGAGUCCACUAACAAAAGUCCAGAAACUCGCCAGUUAAUAGUAUUGUGUCUCUUCAAAAUAUCGGAGAAUAAUUUCUUUCUCGCUGAUCGCCUAACUUCUACUGACGAAGCUUGGAAGUUGCAGAAGACAUGAUGUAUUGAGUAAAAGGAACUUCGGUACACAGGCCUUUAGUGAUGUGGUGGUAAGAUGUAUGAUGGAGUUCGCUCUUGUUGCCCAGGCUGGAAUGCAAUGGCAUGACCUUGGCUCACUGCAACCUCUGCCUCCCCAGUUCAAGUGGUUCUCCUGCCUCAGCCUCCCGAGUAGCUGAGAUUACAGGUACUGGCUCCUGUAUCACCCAGCUCUGGAGUUGAAAGAGCUCUUCAUUCCUGAGUCUCCUGUACCACUGAGAAUAGAAAUACAAAAAAAAUUCUAAAACUUGUAUGGAACUACAAAAGACAUUAAAUAAUCAAAGUAAUCUUGAGCAACAAGGACACAGCUGGAGGCAUCACUCUACCUGAUUUUGUAAUCCAUUAUCAAAAAACUGUGGUACCAGCAUAAAAACAGAUUCACUGACCAGUGGAACAGGAAAGCCCAGACAUAACUCAUACAUUUCCAUCCAAUUGAUUUUUGACAAAAGUGGCACACAGAAUGGGGAGAGGACAAAUAAAUAAAUAAAUUGUUUUGAGAUAUCUGUAUAUCUAUAUGUGAAAUUGAACCAUUUUCUCAUAGCAUAUAGAAAAAUCAACUCAAAAUGGAUUAAAGCCUGAAAUGUUGCCUUUGAAACUGUAAAACUACUAGUAGAAAAUAUAGGGGAAAAGCUCUAUGAUGUUGUUCUGGGCAAUGAUUUCUUGGAUACAUCCUUAAAAGCAUGGGCAGCAAAAACAGCCAGACAACUAUCAGGGAACCUGCCCAGAUAGUCACAUAGGUUCUUUUCUAUUUUCCCUAAGCAUUGGCCGGGUUGAGAAAUAAAGGGACAGAGUACAAAAGAGAGAAAUUUUAAAGCUGGGCAUCCUGGGGAGACAUCACAUGUCGGUAGGUUC
This 1096-nucleotide long non-coding RNA is filed under the name Homo sapiens (human). Its description in RNAcentral is "HSALNT0408025". The stretch from base 1 to 125 matches the Rfam family "JPX transcript, XIST activator conserved region 1". Lineage: Eukaryota; Metazoa; Chordata; Mammalia; Primates; Hominidae. The record is from RNAcentral.